GAUGAACGCUGGCGGCGUGCCUAAUACAUGCAAGUCGAGCGAACGGACGAGAAGCUUGCUUCUCUGAUGUUAGCGGCGGACGGGUGAGUAACACGUGGAUAACCUACCUAUAAGACUGGGAUAACUUCGGGAAACCGGAGCUAAUACCGGAUGAUAUUUUGAACCGCAUGGUUCAAAAGUGAAAGACGGUCUUGCUGUCACUUAUAGAUGGAUCCGCGCUGCAUUAGCUAGUUGGUAAGGUAACGGCUUACCAAGGCAACGAUGCAUAGCCGACCUGAGAGGGUGGUCGGCCACACUGGAACGGAGACACGGUCCAGACGCCUACGGGAGGCAGCAGUAGGGAAUCUUCCGCAAUGGGCGAAAGCCUGACGGAGCAACGCCGCGUGAGUGAUGAAGGUCUUCGGAUCGUAAAACUCUGUUAUUAGGGAAGAACAUAUGUGUAAGUAACUGUGCACAUCUUGACGGUACCUAAUCAGAAAGCCACGGCUAACUACGUG
Molecule: ribosomal RNA, 497 nt
Filed under: uncultured bacterium
Lineage: Bacteria
Description: partial 16S ribosomal RNA
Rfam family: Bacterial small subunit ribosomal RNA
Source: RNAcentral